This 2241-nucleotide ribosomal RNA is filed under the name Ruminococcus sp. OM04-4AA. RNAcentral's name for it is "bacterial LSU rRNA". It matches the Rfam family "Bacterial large subunit ribosomal RNA", at positions 655 to 2925 of the family's 2925-position model. The record is from RNAcentral. Lineage: Bacteria; Bacillati; Bacillota; Clostridia; Eubacteriales; Oscillospiraceae.
AAGGUCCGGAGCCGAAGGGAAACCAAGUCUGAAUAGGGCGCAUAGUCAGUCGGAGUAGACCCGAAACCGGGUGAUCUAUCCAUGUCCAGGUUGAAGUUGCCGUAAAAGGCAAUGGAGGACCGAACCCACAUCCGUUGAAAAGGGUGGGGAUGAGGUGUGGAUAGGGGAGAAAUUCCAAUCGAACCCGGAGAUAGCUGGUUCUCCUCGAAAUAGCUUUAGGGCUAGCCUCAUACGAGUCUUGCGGAGGUAGAGCACUGAAUUCCUAAGGGGGCGUCAAAGCUUACUAAGGGAUAUCAAACUCCGAAUGCCGUGUAGAUGAUGUAUGGGAGUCAGACGAUCCGAGAUAAGUUGGGUGGUCAAAAGGGAAAGAGCCCAGACCAACAGCUAAGGCCCCAAAAUGUGUGUUAAGUGGAAAAGGAUGUGGGAUUUCGAAGACAACUAGGAUGUUGGCUCAGAAGCAGCCAUUCAUUCAAAGAGUGCGUAAUAGCUCACUAGUCGAGAGGUCCUGCGCCGAAAAUGUCCGGGGCUAAAACACACUGCCGAAGCUUUGGAAUUGAGAAUUCAAUUGGUAGAGGAGCAUUCUUAAAGGGACGAAGCAGUACCGUAAGGAGCUGUGGACUUUUAAGAAGAGAGAAUGCCGGAAUGAGUAGCGAGAGGAAGGUGGGAAUCCUUCCGGCCGAAUAUCUAAGGUUUCCAGAGUAAAGCUGAUCUGCUCUGGGUAAGUCGGGGCCUAAGGCGAGGUCGAAAGACGUAGUCGAUGGAUAACAGGUUGAAAUUCCUGUACUAUCCUGUAACAGAACUGUGGGGACACAGGCAGAGAGCGUGAGCCGGGAAUGGAAAGACCGGUACAAGCGAGGUAGGAGUCUGGUUGGCAAAUCCGCCAGGCAAUCUGAAGACGUGAUGUGGACUGAAAAUAAGUAGGGAAGCACGUGAGCUGACUGUCAAGAAAAGCCGCUAUUGUUUGCAGGAUACCCGUACCGUAAACCGACACAGGUGGAUGAGGAGAGAAUCCUAAGGCCGACGGGAGAAGCAUUGUUAAGGAACUCGGCAAAAUGACUCCGUAACUUCGGGAGAAGGAGUGCCAGUAAGAUGGCCGCAGAGAAUUGGCCCAAGCAACUGUUUAGCAAAAACACAGGUCUAUGCAAAACCGAAAGGUGAGGUAUAUGCUGACGCCUGCCCGGUGCUGGAAGGUUAAGGGGAGAGGUUAGCGCAAGCGAAGCUUUGAACUUAAGCCCCAGUAAACGGCGGCCGUAACUAUAACGGUCCUAAGGUAGCGAAAUUCCUUGUCGGGUAAGUUCCGACCCGCACGAAAGGCGUAAUGAUUUGGGCACUGUCUCAACAAUGCACCCGGUGAAAUUGAAAUACCAGUGAAGAUGCUGGUUACCUGCGCCAGGACGGAAAGACCCCAUGGAGCUUUACUCCAGCUUGAUACUGGGAUUCGGUAUUGCAUGUACAGGAUAGGUGGGAGGCUAGGAAAUGGUAACGCCAGUUGCCAUGGAGCCAAUGUUGGGAUACCACCCUUGCAGUACUGGGUUUCUAACCAGCAGCCGUGAUCCGGCUGGGGGACAAUGUCAGGUGGGGAGUUUGACUGGGGCGGUCGCUCCGAAAGGGUAUCGGAGGCGCUCAAAGGUUCCCUCAGAAUGGUUGGAAACCAUUCGAAGAGUGCAAAGGCAGAAGGGAGCUUGACUGCGACACCGACGGGUGGAGCAGGUACGAAAGUAGGACUUAGUGAUCCGGUGGUAUAAAGUGGGAUUGCCAUCGCUCAACGGAUAAAAGCUACCCUGGGGAUAACAGGCUUAUCACUCCCAAGAGUUCACAUCGACGGAGUGGUUUGGCACCUCGAUGUCGGCUCAUCGCAUCCUGGGGCUGAAGUAGGUCCCAAGGGUUGGGCUGUUCGCCCAUUAAAGCGGUACGCGAGCUGGGUUCAGAACGUCGUGAGACAGUUCGGUCCCUAUCCGGCGUGGGCGUAAGAUAUUUGAGAGGAGCUGUCCUUAGUACGAGAGGACCGGGAUGGACUGGCCGCUGGUGUAUCUGUUGUCUUACCAAAGGCAUAGCAGAGUAGCCAAGCCGGGAAGGGAUAAACGCUGAAGGCAUCUAAGCGUGAAGCCCCCCUCAAGAUGAGAUAUCUCAUAACGUCAAGUUAGUAAGACCCCUUGAAGACGACGAGGUAGAUAGGGCAGAGGUGGAAGUGUGGUAACACAUGGAGCUGACUGUUACUAAUAGGUCGAGGGCAUAACCAAA